GAUGAACGCUGGCGGCGUGCCUAAUACAUGCAAGUCGAGCGAACGGACGAGAAGCUUGCUUCUCUGAUGUUAGCGACGGACGGGUGAGUAACACGUGGAUAACCUACCUAUAAGACUGGGAUAACUUCGGGAAACCGGAGCUAAUACCGGAUAAUAUUUUGAACCGCAUGGUUCAAAAGUGAAAGACGGUCUUGCUGUCACUUAUAGAUGGAUCCGCGCUGCAUUAGCUAGUUGGUAAGGUAACGGCUUACCAAGGCAACGAUGCAUAGCCGACCUGAGAGGGUGAUCGGCCACACUGGAACUGAGACACGGUCCAGACUCCUAAGGGAGGCAGCAGUAGGGAAUCUUCCGCAAUGGGCGAAAGCCUGACGGAGCAACGCCGCGUGAGUGAUGAAGGUCUUCGGAUCGUAAAACUCUGUUAUUAGGGAAGAACAGAUGUGUAAGUAACUGUGCACAUCUUGACGGUACCUAAUCAGAAAGCCACGGCUAACUACGUG
Molecule: ribosomal RNA, 497 nt
Filed under: uncultured bacterium
Lineage: Bacteria
Description: partial 16S ribosomal RNA
Rfam family: Bacterial small subunit ribosomal RNA
Source: RNAcentral